UACAGAGGGGGCAAGCGUUAUUCGGAAUUAUUGGGCGUAAAGGGCGCGUAGGCGGCUUGGCAAGUGGAUGGUGAAAUCCCUCGGCUUAACCGAGGAACUGCCGUGCAAACUGCUUCGCUUGAGACCGGGAGAGGUGAGUGGAAUUCCCAGUGUAGCGGUGAAAUGCGUAGAUAUUGGGAGGAACACCAGUGGCGAAGGCGGCUCACUGGACCGGUACUGACGCUGAGGCGCGAAAGCGUGGGGAGCAAACGGG
Molecule: ribosomal RNA, 253 nt
Filed under: uncultured bacterium
Lineage: Bacteria
Description: partial 16S ribosomal RNA
Rfam family: Bacterial small subunit ribosomal RNA
Source: RNAcentral